RNAcentral lists this transfer RNA (59 nucleotides) under Chattonella subsalsa. Lineage: Eukaryota; Raphidophyceae; Chattonellales; Chattonellaceae. The record is from RNAcentral.
AGCUCAGUCGGUAGAGGUUUGGACUGCUGAUCCAAAGGUUGCGGGUUCAAUUCCAACCA